AUUGAACGCUGGCGGCAGGCCUAACACAUGCCAGUCGAACGGUAACAGGAAGAAGCUUGCUUCUUUGCUGACGAGUGGCGGACGGGUGAGUAAUGUCUGGGAAACUGCCUGAUGGAGGGGGAUAACUACUGGAAACGGUAGCUAAUACCGCAUAACGUCGCAAGACCAAAAAGGGGGACCUUCGGGCCUCUUGCCAUCGGAUGUGCCCAGAUGGGAUUAGCUAGUAGGUGGGGUAACGGCUCACCUAGGCGACGAUCCCUAGCUGGUCUGAGAGGAUGACCAGCCACACUGGAACUGAGACACGGUCCAGACUCCUACGGGAGGCAGCAGUGGGGAAUAUUGCACAAUGGGCGCAAGCCUGAUGCAGCCAUGCCGCGUGUAUGAAGAAGGCCUUCGGGUUGUAAAGUACUUUCAGCGGGGAGGAAGGGAGUAAAGUUAAUACCUUUGCUCAUUGACGUUACCCGCAGAAGAAGCACCGGCUAACUCCAUG
This 490-nucleotide ribosomal RNA is filed under the name uncultured bacterium. RNAcentral's name for it is "partial 16S ribosomal RNA". It matches the Rfam family "Bacterial small subunit ribosomal RNA", at positions 30 to 507 of the family's 1533-position model. The record is from RNAcentral.